This 439-nucleotide ribosomal RNA is filed under the name uncultured bacterium. RNAcentral describes it as "bacterial SSU rRNA". It matches the Rfam family "Bacterial small subunit ribosomal RNA", at positions 29 to 471 of the family's 1533-position model. The record is from RNAcentral.
AUUGAACGCUGGCGGCAUGCCUUACACAUGCAAGUCGAACGCGAAAGCGGGGGCAACUCCGCAAGUAGAGUGGCGAACGGGUGAGUAAUGCAUCGGAACGUGCCCAGUCGUGGGGGAUAACCAGUCGAAAGACUGGCUAAUACCGCAUGAGACCUGAGGGUGAAAGCAGGGGAUCCGCAAGGACCUUGCGCGACUGGAGCGGCCGAUGCCGGAUUAGCUAGUUGGUGGGAUAAAAGCCCACCAAGGCGACGAUCCGUAGCUGGUCUGAGAGGACGAUCAGCCACACUGGAACUGAGACACGGUCCAGACUCCUACGGGAGGCAGCAGUGGGGAAUUUUGGACAAUGGGCGCAAGCCUGAUCCAGCCAUGCCGCGUGAGUGAAGAAGGCCUUCGGUUGUAAGACGUCUUUAGUUCCGGGUACCGGAAAUACGCACGCGUG